This 253-nucleotide ribosomal RNA is filed under the name uncultured bacterium. Its description in RNAcentral is "partial 16S ribosomal RNA". It matches the Rfam family "Bacterial small subunit ribosomal RNA", at positions 524 to 776 of the family's 1533-position model. The record is from RNAcentral.
UACGUAGGGGGCAAGCGUUGUCCGGAAUCAGUGGGCGUAAAGCGCGUGUAGGCGGCCAGGUAAGUCCGUUCUGAAAGCCCGGGGCUCAACCCCGGGAGGCGGAUGGAUACUGCUUGGCUCGAGUCCGGAAGAGGCGAGUGGAAUUCCCGGUGUAGCGGUGAAAUGCGCAGAUAUCGGGAGGAACACCAAUGGCGAAGGCAGCUCGCUGGGACGGUACUGACGCUGAGACGCGAAAGCGUGGGGAGCAAACAGG